AGAGAGUGAGACAGUGAGUGAGCAGGAAGAAGCAGAAGAGAUCUCAAGUUAGUUUUCUCUCUGUGAGGAACAAGCUGUGAGGGUCUGGUCUGAGGAGAGGGUCUGGUCUGGGGGGUCUGGUCUGAGGGGUCUGGUCUGGGGGAGGGUCUGGGGGGUCUGGUCUGAGGAGAGGGUCUGGGGGGUCUGGACUGAGGAGAUGGUCUGGUCUGGGGGGUCUGGUCUCACACACACACACACACACACACACACACACACACACACACACACACACACACACACACACACACACACACACACACACACACACACACACACA
Molecule: long non-coding RNA, 316 nt
Organism: Gadus macrocephalus (Pacific cod)
Lineage: Eukaryota; Metazoa; Chordata; Actinopteri; Gadiformes; Gadidae
Exons: 2
Source: RefSeq, a predicted model, not a curated record